UUUUGACCUCGGAUCACGCAGGGAUACCCCGCUGAACU
RNAcentral lists this ribosomal RNA (38 nucleotides) under Halokirschsteiniothelia maritima. Its description in RNAcentral is "partial 28S ribosomal RNA". Lineage: Eukaryota; Fungi; Ascomycota; Dothideomycetes; Mytilinidiales. The record is from RNAcentral.